RNAcentral lists this ribosomal RNA (497 nucleotides) under uncultured bacterium. RNAcentral's name for it is "partial 16S ribosomal RNA". It matches the Rfam family "Bacterial small subunit ribosomal RNA", at positions 28 to 507 of the family's 1533-position model. The record is from RNAcentral.
GACGAACGCUGGCGGCGUGCCUAAUACAUGCAAGUUGAGCGCUGAAGGUUGGUACUUGUACCAACUGGAUGAGCAGCGAACGGGUGAGUAACGCGUGGGGAAUCUGCCUUUGAGCGGGGGACAACAUUUGGAAACGAAUGCUAAUACCGCAUAAAAACUUUAAACACAAGUUUUAAGUUUGAAAGAUGCAAUUGCAUCACUCAAAGAUGAUCCCGCGUUGUAUUAGCUAGUUGGUGAGGUAAAGGCUCACCAAGGCGAUGAUACAUAGCCGACCUGAGAGGGUGGUCGGCCGCAUUGGGACUGUGACACGCCCCAAACGCCUACGGGAGGCAGCAGUAGGGCAUCGUCGGCAAUGGGCGGAAGUCUGACCGCGCAACGCCGCGUGAGGGUAGAAGGUUUUCGGGUCGGAAAACUCGGUUGGUAGAGAAGAACGCUGGUGAGAGUGGAAAGCACAGCAAGUGACGGUAACUACUCAGAAAGGGACGGCUAACUACGUG